AGUGAACGCUGGCGGUAGGCCUAACACAUGCAAGUCGAACGGCAGCACAGGAGAGCUUGCUCUCUGGGUGGCGAGUGGCGGACGGGUGAGGAAUACAUCGGAAUCUACUCUGUCGUGGGGGAUAACGUAGGGAAACUUACGCUAAUACCGCAUACGACCUACGGGUGAAAGCAGGGGACCUUCGGGCCUUGCGCGAUGGAAUGAGCCGAUGUCGGAUUAGCUAGUUGGCGGGGUAAAGGCCCACCAAGGCGACGAUCCGUAGCUGGUCUGAGAGGAUGAUCAGCCACACUGGAACUGAGACACGGUCCAGACUCCUACGGGAGGCGGCAGUGGGGAAUAUUGGACAAUGGGCGCAAGCCUGAACCAGCCAUACCGCGUGGGUGAAGAAGGCCUUCGGGUUGUAAAGCCCUUUUGUUGGGAAAGAAAUCCAGCUGGCUAAUACCCGGUUGGGAUGACGGUACCCAAAGAACAAGCACCGGCUAACUUCGUGCCAGCCGCCGCCGUAA
RNAcentral lists this ribosomal RNA (506 nucleotides) under uncultured bacterium. Its description in RNAcentral is "partial 16S ribosomal RNA". It matches the Rfam family "Bacterial small subunit ribosomal RNA", at positions 29 to 523 of the family's 1533-position model. The record is from RNAcentral.